This 213-nucleotide unclassified non-coding RNA is filed under the name Hevea brasiliensis (rubber tree). The record is from RNAcentral. Lineage: Eukaryota; Viridiplantae; Streptophyta; Magnoliopsida; Malpighiales; Euphorbiaceae.
GUUCUUCCCAUCUUCCCUACCGUCCCCAAACCAGUUUGCAACUUUACAUCACCAAAUAAAACUGGGUGUGAAAAGUUAGAUUCUUUUGGAAUAAAAAUAUGGAGAAAAGAAGAGCUAAACCUGAUAGGAUGUCUGCUAAAAAAUGUGGCCUAUGUCAUUCAACUGAUAAAGGUUCAAUGGGCAAACAGAGAUCAAAUUCUUCUGCUUUCUUUG